CACGGGGGGAGCAAGCGUUGUUCGGAAUCACUGGGCGUAAAGGGCGUGUAGGCGGUCAAGUAAGUGGGAUGUGAAAUCCCUCGGCUCACCCGAGGACCUGCAUCCCAAACUGCUUGGCUUGAGUAUGGGAGAGGAUGAGGGAGUUCCUGGUGUAGCGGUGAAAUGCGUAGAUAUCAGGAGGAACACCGGUGGCGAAGGCGCUCAUCUGGCCCAAUACUGACGCUGAGGCGCGAAAGCUAGGGGAGCAAACGGG
This 253-nucleotide ribosomal RNA is filed under the name uncultured bacterium. Its description in RNAcentral is "partial 16S ribosomal RNA". It matches the Rfam family "Bacterial small subunit ribosomal RNA", at positions 524 to 776 of the family's 1533-position model. The record is from RNAcentral.